UGGGGAAUAUUGCACAAUGGGCGCAAGCCUGAUGCAGCCAUGCCGCGUGUAUGAAGAAGGCCUUCGGGUUGUAAAGUACUUUCAGUCGGGAGGAAGGUGGUAAGGUUAAUAACCUUAUCAAUUGACGUUACCGACAGAAGAAGCACCGGCUAACUCCGUGCCAGCAGCCGCGGUAAUACGGAGAGUGCAAGCGUUAAUCGGAAUUACUGGGCGUAAAGCGCACGCAGGCGGUUGAUUGAGUCAGAUGUGAAAUCCCCGGGCUUAACCCGGGAAUUGCAUCUGAUACUGGUCAGCUAGAGUCUUGUAGAGGGGGGUAGAAUUCCAUGUGUAGCGGUGAAAUGCGUAGAGAUGUGGAGGAAUACCGGUGGCGAAGGCGGCCCCCUGGACAAAGACUGACGCUCAGGUGCGAAAGCGUGGGGAGCAAACAGG
RNAcentral lists this ribosomal RNA (429 nucleotides) under Chloroflexota bacterium. RNAcentral describes it as "Chloroflexi bacterium partial 16S ribosomal RNA". It matches the Rfam family "Bacterial small subunit ribosomal RNA", at positions 355 to 776 of the family's 1533-position model. Lineage: Bacteria; Bacillati; Chloroflexota. The record is from RNAcentral.